This 884-nucleotide long non-coding RNA is filed under the name Eucalyptus grandis. Its description in RNAcentral is "long non-coding RNA (EGRA_LNC003703)". The record is from RNAcentral. Lineage: Eukaryota; Viridiplantae; Streptophyta; Magnoliopsida; Myrtales; Myrtaceae.
GUUCAGGCUGGCCACCGCCACCAACCGAAAAAAACAGCGGCGUAUAUCCGGGUUGAAAUCCUGGGUAGGGAUUCGUCCCUUGACCUGGAUUAGAUUUGGAUCCCUGACCCGUCGGCGCGUAUCCGGGUUGAAAUCCCGGGUAGGGAUUCAUCCCUUGACCUGGGAUAGAUCCGGUUCCUUGAUCCGGAAUGGAUCCGAAUCCCUGAGCCGAAUUCUUCUGGCCCGAUGCUUCUGUUGGGCCCGUUACAAAUGGUGAUGGCCCAAAAGGAUAUUAGGUCCAUACCUGUCCUGGCGACGGGCCAAAAGGAUACUGGGUCCAUACUUGUCCAUAUGCUGGAGGAAAGGAUGGAGGCCACUGGAUUGGGCCGGAGGUUUGGCCCAACGUCUGAAUCAACCUUGCAGAAAGAGUUUCCUUUGAUGGUUGAACAUAAGCUUGAUCUUCGCUAGGCAGAAUAGCUAGAUCUGAGGUAGGUGUCUCCUCUGUUGAUGAGUUCUCAACAUUAUUUGUCAUGGCACCAAAUAAAAAUUGAAUUCCUAACCGUUUUGCUGGUCUGUUUCGCAGGUAAAGAUCAUGCAACAAUAGGCUAGAAAAAGAAUAGUGGCAAUUCAAGAAUAUGCGGAAGCUAAGCCAGGAGUAUCUGCUCUGAUACCAUGACUGAAAAUGUAAUGGAGACUUGGAAAAAGGCUUUUCCUCUGUAUAUUCGUUUUGUACAUUUACAUUACAUUGGUAAAUUUAUAGUGUAAGAGACAAAAGAAUAAAACAGGAAAAAAUAAUAAAUGAAUCUCUAUUUUCCUAUUUUCCUAUUUACCAAAACUAAUCCACGAUUGACUAAAUCAUAAUCAACGGAAUCGGAAUCUUCAAGAUAUAUUUCCAAUAGGAGCAA